AGCUCCUACUCUGUCUGACCUGACAAGCCACCUCAAGUGGACAAGGCACUUACCAACAGAGAUUGCUGAUUUGCUCCUUAAGCAAGAGAUUCACUGCCGCUAAGCAUGGCUCAGACCAACUCGUUCUUCAUGCUGAUCUCCUCCCUGAUGUUCCUGUCUCUGAGCCAAGGCCAGGAGUCCCAGACAGAGCUGCCUAAUCCCCGAAUCAGCUGCCCAGAAGGCACCAAUGCCUAUCGCUCCUACUGCUACUACUUUAAUGAAGACCCUGAGACCUGGGUUGAUGCAGAUGUGAGUGAGGAGAGCAGCAGGGGAAGGGAGGCUUAUGAAGGUAGAGGCAGCUGCUAAUUUGCAGUGUGUUCUGUGGCUGCAAUGAGAUAAGAUUGAUCCCUUCCCUAUUCCACCACUGGUCCCAAACUUCCCAAUCUACUUUAUCCCAUCAUUUGACACAUUCCCAGCACAGAGAUGCUGGUGGUCAGUGACAGCAUCAUCAGGGACAUUUCUGUGCUGUCCUUUUUCUGUUACAUCCUCUGGAAGGUCUCAGUAUAUCCCUCACACCUUCCUUCUCCACUGAGUGCUCCAUUUUCUUCUCCAACAGCUCUAUUGCCAGAACAUGAAUUCAGGCAACCUGGUGUCUGUGCUCACCCAGGCGGAGGGUGCCUUCGUGGCCUCACUGAUUAAGGAGAGUAGCACUGAUGACAGCAAUGUCUGGAUUGGCCUCCAUGACCCAAAAAAGGUCAGUCUGCAGCCACCUCUAUCUCCUUAUAAACAUUUUUGAGAGGUAAGAGGGACGUUUAAGGUCUGGCACCGCAAUCACCAACUUUUAUCUUUUUGUUUGUUUAAAUAAAAGCAACCUCUUUAUAGAUCCUAUAAUGUAUGAGUUGUGAAGUUCAGUGUAGGUAGUUAGAGACAUGAGCUGAAGGCUGAAUUUUCUGGGCUCUGGGAAUUCAUGCACCCACUCAUUGUGUCUACUUCUAGAAAUGCAUCUUUAUGUACAACUUUUUCCCUAUUUUGCUAUUGUCUGUCUUGGAAGAGGUCCCUCUGUAGACUAUAUAGAAAAUGAGUAGUGGAGGAGAAUCUACUGCUGGCAUUUGUUAUACAUUUUAUACAAGUGUAUAAAACUGUACAGUAUAUUAUUUAGUUUAACACUAUAAACUAAAUAAUAUAUCAACGACUACUCUACAGCCAAUGUUAUGCUGGAUAUGAGAGUUCUGAGAUUCAGGAAAAA
RNAcentral lists this long non-coding RNA (1225 nucleotides) under Homo sapiens (human). Its description in RNAcentral is "non-protein coding lnc-REG3A-4:1". The record is from RNAcentral. Lineage: Eukaryota; Metazoa; Chordata; Mammalia; Primates; Hominidae.